RNAcentral lists this long non-coding RNA (681 nucleotides) under Brassica napus (rape). RNAcentral describes it as "long non-coding RNA (BNAP_LNC018921)". Lineage: Eukaryota; Viridiplantae; Streptophyta; Magnoliopsida; Brassicales; Brassicaceae. The record is from RNAcentral.
UUUGGAAUGUAGAAUCUGAAAGUCUGGGACCGAUUCAUGAAGCUAUUUGUACACUCGAAAAUAUUGGAACCAACUAGAAAAUAUCCGAAGGUUAGAGGACUUGUGUUGCAAAACAUAAGAAAUCGCCAUUGUUGCCCGAUCUCUUCUGUAACGAGACAGAGACAGGAGGAUGAGCACGACGGCUAGGCUUGAAUCUGAGCAUGAAGACUUCGGCAGAGAAAGACGACGGAGAUGGUCUAGUUACUCGAGACAGACGCGUCGAUUUACGGUGGAGAAAAGGAAGCUUGAGGCAGAGACGUUCGUGGUGGUUCCGUCUUCAGUCGACGGCGGAGAUGAACAAGGAAAACGAAACAGGUCCAUGGCAUGGUUCGAGCUGGUCAUGGACGACGGAGCAAGACAGAGCUGAAAGAGUGAAGCAUGAAGCGGUCAGGUUUAGCAAAAAGAUCAAAAUUUGAUCUUAUCUGAAAUAAGAAAACGAAAACCAGAGAAGAAAACUCACCAGAAACCCAUAACAAACUUUUUUAAAAAAUUUGCUCACAUUUCUUUUUUUUUUUGGAAAUUGGUAGCAGAUACGAGAUUGGAGGGACAUACUGAUAAAAGUCGUCUUUAGUUGUUGGUUUAAUUAAAGUCUAAAGUUUCUGGAUUCGAGAGAGAGAAAGAGGAAACGAAGAAAAGUUUCCA